This is a long non-coding RNA of Papaver somniferum (opium poppy), 1342 nucleotides long. RefSeq lists it as uncharacterized. The transcript has 3 exons. Lineage: Eukaryota; Viridiplantae; Streptophyta; Magnoliopsida; Ranunculales; Papaveraceae. The record is from RefSeq and is a predicted model, not a curated record.
UUAGAACCAAGUGUGUCAAAUAUAAUUUUGAGUAAGGAAAGGCUGUACAAGCUAUGUGGCUGGAAUCUCAUUCACUUGAAGUUUUGGCACUAAUUGGGUUUCACUGGAUGCACCAAAUUUUCUCACCAACCGUUUGAUGAAAACUCUGAGGAUCAGGAUGGAUACGGGUACCUCCUUUUGUUCUUCGAACUAUCCAGGUUUUAGAAGAAUUGAUGUAGGCCAAGCAAAAUCGAGUUUAAAAGGAAGGGAUUGCGGAUUAUUGACACAAACAAGCAAGACCUCGAGAUAGAGACCUCCAAUAUGGUGAUCAUGUUUCCACGACAUCAAAGCUUGGAAAAGGCAACUUCUGAAAUGGAAUUUUAAAGGCAAGAAUGGUAUCGCAAACUAUAUUGAGGUAAUCAUCAUCACUCUUAGUUUUGGCUUGAUUUUCGAGGACGAAAAUUCUUUUUAGUGGGUAAUGGUGUAACAGACGGAGAAAUUUAAUUUGGAUUGCGGGCUCGAGUCUAACCCACGCAUUUGUUGUUGGGAUCGCGCAAUGUGGGUUCAUGAAUCCUAAUGUUGUCGUGCCUUGCAUUUGGAAUUGAGGUGAGUGCCUUGAGUCGUAAGUUAGGUGGCAUUAACUCAUUUAGCCAUCCCUUAUAAUUAGAGAAGAGUCUAAUUAAUGUUUCCAUGCACUUGACUAAGACUAAAGUUGACUACUUGACACCUGGGAGUGUAUGUGUCACAAUAAAAGAAUGGACAUUCUCGUCGUUUCAAAGUUUUUUUGUUCGUAAAUGUAAAAAUAUAAAUUUUAUUCUUUUUGUUCUGUCCGUCUCCCCCUCUCGUUCUUCACUCUCCCUCCCCUGUUGAUGAGAAGCAAAAGAAAAUCACAAUUUCUUUCCACGAACUCCGAAAACCCAUUUAUGGGAUUGAAAUGGUUGUUCUAAGAAAUUAUCACUUGUUCUUUCAAGACGUGGUGAUUGAUUUAUGUUGCUAUCUGCGUUACGAAUUUGGAGCUAACUCGAUGCAAUAAGACGGAAAGCUUACGAUAAGGGAGCUAUGGACACAAUAUCGGUAUAUGUUGUUGUCCUUGUAUAUAUAGAUAUCAUGGGCUGUGUUGGGUAGUUUUCCUAUGGGUGCUAAAUGACAUUUUCUUUACAUGUCUUUCUGCCUGUACAUGUGUACAAACUAAAGAAUUAUCUCGGGUUAGAAGGAAUAAUUUUUACACUCCUUUUGACUGUCCAGUUCUCAUUUUCAUUUUCUUCCAUCGUCAGCGUGUCGACAUUUCUUAAAUCAUAUUUGUUACCUAUUUGGAAUUCUUUUUAUUUGAACCAUAAUGUGUAUAUGUCAUUCUCUGUUUUGA